Molecule: long non-coding RNA, 907 nt
Filed under: Sus scrofa (pig)
Lineage: Eukaryota; Metazoa; Chordata; Mammalia; Artiodactyla; Suidae
Description: lncRNA (ENSSSCG00025033728.1)
Source: RNAcentral
UUACUGUGUUCCUUCCCAGCCGGAAUGUGUGGUCUGGGUACAAUACCGAAACGGUCCCCAAGCAGGCGUCCUCACUCUUCAGCUCUCUAAUUGUUCCUGUUAAGCAGAUAGAAAUAAUGAAACUGCAGAUGCCUGUGCGACGUCCCAACAGCUGAUGAAUCUAUGCGUUGGAAUCCAGAGGUCCAAAUUCGGAUGUUAAAAAAUCAACCAUAGAUCCGGCCUGUCUAGAGGGUGGAUCAUUGGAGACAGGUGUCUGUGCUCCUGGGCAGCGUUCCAUUUCAGGACACAGGCUUCUGGAUUUGACAGCGCCUGGAGGUUCUAGAAAAGGAAGGAAGGAGAUAAGGGCCAUCUUGGGAGCCUUAUUAAUAUGUACAUACACAUGUUGAGCUUGGUAUGUCCAUAGCGGUUUCCUCGUGAAGGUUAAAACAAGUCAAUCCACCCAUCUGAUGGAUGUAUUUCAUUUAUCCUCAUCUUCAUCGUCAAUAGUGUUUAUGGCUGCUGAGGAAUAGAAAUCAACAGACAGUUUGCUGUGAAUGUGAAAAGGCUUGCCCUCUAUUUGCCUGGAUUUUUUUUUUUUUUUUUUUUUUUUUAAAGCACGGGAAAAGAAGCCCAAGCUAAUUGGGGAAGAUGUGUGGCUAAUAUUGUUACCGAGUUAUUUGACUCCAUUUUAGAGGGUGGAUCAGCGUUUCAAGAGACAAAUGAAAAGUCGGUUUUCUUUCUGCAGAAAUAUUGGAAGUUCCCAUUUCUACUGAUGCUGUUCAUCUCGAUUCUUUCCAAUUUGGGGGGUAAAGACAUAAAGUAAAACACAACAGCUCAGAAGGGAAAGAUAACAUUGCAGAAUCUCGAAGAGAGCCUCACCUCAGCUAAGAGAUAAGUCUUGAGAAUUGUUCAGAGAAUUUUAAGCAAG